Molecule: ribosomal RNA, 243 nt
Filed under: uncultured bacterium
Lineage: Bacteria
Description: partial 16S ribosomal RNA
Rfam family: Bacterial small subunit ribosomal RNA
Source: RNAcentral
UCAAGCGUUGUUCGGAUUCAUUGGGCGUAAAGGGUGCGUAGGCGGCGCGGUAAGUCGGGUGUGAAAUCUCGGAGCUUAACUCCGAAACUGCAUUCGAUACUGCCGUGCUUGAGGACUGGAGAGGAGACUGGAAUUUACGGUGUAGCGGUGAAAUGCGUAGAUAUCGUAAGGAAGACCAGUGGCGAAGGCGGGUCUCUGGACAGUUCCUGACGCUGAGGCACGAAGGCCAGGGGAGCAAACGGG